AGAGUUUGAUCCUGGCUCAGGAUGAACGCUGGCGGCGUGCUUAAUACAUGCAAGUCGAACGGAAACAGUAGCAAUAUUGCUUUAGUGGCGAACGGGUGAGUAACGCGUUGGUGACCUGCCCCGAAGAGAGGGAUAACAGUUCGAAAGGAUUGCUAAUACCUCAUGUGGUUAUAAGGUUUAGAAGCUUAUAACUAAACGGAUUUAUUCGCUUCGGGAGGGGCCUGCGUCCCAUCAGCUAGUUGGUAAGGUAAUGGCCUACCAAGGCGAUGACGGGUAGGGGACCUGAGAGGGUGGCCCCCCACAAUGGAACUGAAACACGGUCCAUACACCUACGGGUGGCAGCAGUAGGGAAUAUUGGUUAAUGUGGGAAACCGCGAACCAGCAACGCCGCGUGCACGAUGAAGGCCUUCGGGUCGUAAAGUGCUUUUAGAGAGGAUGAGGAAGGACAGUACUCUCUGAAUAAGCCUCGGCUAACUACGUGCCAGCAGCCGCGGUAAA
This 498-nucleotide ribosomal RNA is filed under the name uncultured bacterium. RNAcentral's name for it is "bacterial SSU rRNA". It matches the Rfam family "Bacterial small subunit ribosomal RNA", at positions 8 to 524 of the family's 1533-position model. The record is from RNAcentral.